UAUAUAUAUAUAUAGUGUAGAACUACUAUGCUAUCGAAAAUAUAGAGAAUUUGAUGUUUUCGAAUUUUUGAUCCUUUGAUUAAGAAUUGUAUGGUUGGGAUGAUUGCGGUCCCCCUUAGGACUUAAUAAUACCCUACGAGGUAAUAAUAGUAUUAGUCCAAAGAUAAGAAAUGAUUAAAGGGGUUGAUCUAAGAAUCAAAAAAUCGAAAGCACUAGAUCCUCAAUACUUUUGAUAGUAUAGUAGCUCUACUAUAUAUAUAUAUAUAUAUUCGAGCUUUUCGAGCUUUUCGAGCCUAAUUCGAACGAGCCGAGUAAUACUCAAGCUCGGCUUGAAAUAAAUUUCGAGCCUUU
Molecule: long non-coding RNA, 351 nt
Filed under: Ananas comosus (pineapple)
Lineage: Eukaryota; Viridiplantae; Streptophyta; Magnoliopsida; Poales; Bromeliaceae
Description: long non-coding RNA (ACOM_LNC043591)
Source: RNAcentral